UGCACUGUUUUCAAACAGAUUUUUUAUUAUUUUUAAUUUCAGGUUUUAAAUUGGCUUUAAUGUUAUUGAUUUUUAAUUAAACAUUUUUAUGUUAACCAUUUGUAUGUUUUAGCCAUAUGUGUUAUGAUUGAGCCUCGUGGCUCUGUUACUGACAGGCGUGGGCGUAAGACUCCUCGAGAGUCAGAUACUCUCGAGGAGCGAGAGAGAAAAAGACUGCGAGACAUAUUUGCAGCACCAUCUGAUGAAAAGUCUUUCGAGGGGUUUACGGAGAGAAUGGAGGAGGGGCAGGUUAGCUCGGAGGAGGAUGAGAUGGAUUGGACUCGGGUAAGGGAGGAAUUGGGUGCCACUGGCCAUGAUGGGGCAGAAGAUGAAUGGGGACCUUCAGGAUCAGAUCCAUGGCUUAGCUGGAGGGAUGGGACGGGAUCCACAGCUGGAGAUGUUGCUGGGCGUAGUCAGAGGUGUUCCAGCUCUGACGAGGAAAGUGAUGAGGAAACGCCCGGGUUAAGGAGGACAGCUGACAGUGAUGAAGAUUUGUAACUGGCAUAAAAUGGGGCUUGAGAGCAAUUGCAAAUUGCGUUGGGCAAGGUAAUCUGGGCAAACGCUUGGGAUCCGUGUGUGUGUGGGACGCUUCCCUGAAGACUUGUGUGCUUUCCUGUGCUGAGACCUUGACCUUCCGUCGUCUUCUUGACGGACGCCAUCUCCUGCUUUGAAUACCCGGACUGAACUGACCACGGCUUGGCUUCAUCCCCUUCUUGGACUUGGGAAAACUACAAACGUCUGCUUCUGGCUUUGAACUACGGAACGGAACUGGUCUACUCUACUGUUGCAUUCCCUGGCUGAUUUGUUCGUGCUGGAAAUCCUGUCUGCUGUGUGUGUGUGGGAGCGACGCAAGUUACUGUAAACACUGUGUUGGCAGCAGAGAGGAAUCUGCUGCCAAUUAGCUGCAUUCUUUGUAUCUUUUGUUCUUGGCUCUCGUUUUGUUUAUAUUCAGGCUGAAGCAAGCAGUUUGUUUUUUACCCGGAUUAAACUCCGGUUUAAUCCGGUUUAUCUUUUGAACAUUUAUUUUGCCCCUUUUUGCUCCUAAAGGCAAAUACUGCCUGGCCCUUGUGUUUUACGGGCUUGUUUUGAGUUCUGUAACCUAAUAAACUCUGUUACUUUGAA
Anolis carolinensis (green anole) is the source of this 1161-nucleotide long non-coding RNA. RefSeq lists it as uncharacterized. The transcript is spliced from 2 exons. NCBI's taxonomy places the organism in Eukaryota, Metazoa, Chordata, Lepidosauria, Squamata, Anolidae. The record is from RefSeq and is a predicted model, not a curated record.